This 255-nucleotide ribosomal RNA is filed under the name Salmonella enterica subsp. enterica serovar Kentucky. Its description in RNAcentral is "partial 23S ribosomal RNA". It matches the Rfam family "Bacterial large subunit ribosomal RNA", at positions 228 to 521 of the family's 2925-position model. The record is from RNAcentral. Lineage: Bacteria; Pseudomonadati; Pseudomonadota; Gammaproteobacteria; Enterobacterales; Enterobacteriaceae.
ACCGAGAUUCCCCCAGUAGCGGCGAGCGAACGGGGAGGAGCCCAGAGCCUGAAUCAGCAUGUGUGUUAGUGGAAGCGUCUGGAAAGGCGCGCGAUACAGGGUGACAGCCCCGUACACAAAAGCGCAUGUGCUGUGAGCUCGAUGAGUAGGGCGGGACACGUGGUAUCCUGUCUGAAUAUGGGGGGACCAUCCUCCAAGGCUAAAUACUCCUGACUGACCGAUAGUAAACCAGUACCGUGAGGGAAAGGCGAAAAG